CGAGGAUUAAGGGAUUAUUCAUUGAUUUUGUCCGUUUCUGGGGUGGCGGACUCCCCAUCUUUGUCAGAAUCAUUUUGGGUGGUUGGUGUUGGUCUGUGCUGGAAUGUAUGUUCAUCAGGAGACCGUGUAGAGCUGUAUCCCUAAUAGGAUGACAGUUCAUUCGAUUCAAUAUCCCACGCCUUCGUAUUAUGUGGUAAAAAUCUCGGGAUGAAGUUCUGUAAGUUCACCGGGAUUGUUGUCCAUUGCAACCCAUGUGAGUGUCGUAUUGUGCACACUUCUUCGUUGUAUUUCAGGAGGGCGGUGAUGAUGCAUAGUGCGGUCCUUGGAGUUGUUGUGUUCCAUGUAUACAGCCAGUGUGCAUCUUCCCAUAUCCUGAGUGGAUUCCCGUGUUUUUGUUUGAGGACUAUUUUGAUUCGCAUAUGUAGCAUGGUCUCUUUGGUCAUAUGGUUUCUGGCUGACUUCUUUCAAGCCUUUUCUUCAAGACCGUGUGGUAGCUGGAAGGCUACCGGUUGUUUUAGUGAAUGGCCUUGGAUUUUUGUCAACGUUUCUAGGAGGCCGUCUCGUUUUCUGUAAAAUACACGUAUUUUAACUGGAUUUGUGGUCGUUGCUUCUGGGAUUCUAUUGGACGCUAGUGCUGACCAGAAGCUAUUGUAAAGGUUCGACUUUGCCAAGCGGAUAGUUUUCGGGCACCUGGCGUUCGUCCUGAUAUGUGCCCUAUGACCAUGAAGUUCGCCAGGUAAGAUUCUGACACUAAGCCUGCCUUUCUACGGUGCUCUGGCUCCACCAGCUACUGAACUUCAGUCCAAUUUAUCGAAAAUGACUUGUAUUUGAUACGAAGUUUUCUACUAAAUACGUACUUUGUAUCACUGAUGGUUGCACAAAUCUAAAAACACUCUCCAAAUGCAGAGAAACUCUUUAAGUUGACAUUCCUAAAAUAUCGGAUCUAGGCCUGACAGUGCGGAUCCGAAUUUCACGGAGACCUAGGCCAAGCUCCUCAAGAGCCGAGUAUCCUAACCAUCUAGACUACAAUGGUGAGGAACUCGGCUCUUGUUUUAAGCAUUCAUACACUUGUAUUUAUAUAUAGUAUACGGAAUCCCCUGCACAGUUCUAACGCCAUCCCAUGCUUCAACAGCAUAUCACUAAUGACCGACGGACAGUACGAUCUGUGUUACGGACAAGGACACUCCAUAUUGCAACAGAAUUCGCUCCAAGAAUUUCCACAGCAAUGUUUUUGCUUCUCUACUCCCCCCAGUGAACAUGGCACUGCCUUGUAGUCAUGCACUGGGCGUCGAUAUACAGUAUGACGGAAGUCGAGGCAUAUGUGACAUUGCUAAGUUGGGCCAGCAUCAACUUCACUACCAUAACACAGGUCGCAAAAUUGAAACUAACACGUCGCAAAAUUGAAACCAAAGCAACAUUUGCGGGUUGACGGGGUCACACAAAACAAGUCACUUUCUACUAAUUCAAUGGAACCACUUCCUUCACCUCAAACAUGCCGGACAUAUCAAGCCAAACCCGCUUAACGACCUUAGUCGGCAUCCAUCCCGCCACAACCGAUCAGGACUAGCUGAAGGAAAAUCUUCAUUGCGGUUAGACCGAUACUGACAAUCAAGGUCGCACCACAUA
This is a non-coding RNA of Physcomitrium patens, 1626 nucleotides long. The record is from RefSeq and is a predicted model, not a curated record. NCBI's taxonomy places the organism in Eukaryota, Viridiplantae, Streptophyta, Bryopsida, Funariales, Funariaceae.